Molecule: long non-coding RNA, 5435 nt
Organism: Chelonia mydas (Green sea turtle)
Lineage: Eukaryota; Metazoa; Chordata; Testudines; Cheloniidae
Exons: 2
Source: RefSeq, a predicted model, not a curated record
UCUUCAAUUGUUUUUCCCCUUAGACUUGCUUCCCAUGGGAUUUUACCUACCAACUCCGAGUUUGCUAAAGUCUUGAAAUCCAUUGUCUUUAUUGUGCUGUUCUCCCUCCUACCAUUCCUUAAAAUCAUGAACUCUACCAUUUCAUGAUCACUUUUAGCCCAGUUGCCUUCCACUUUCAAAUUCUCAACCAGUUCCUCCCUAUUUGUCAAAAUCAAAUCUAGAACAGCCUCCCCACAGUAGCUUUCUCUACCUUCUGAAAUAAAAAAUUGUCUCCAAUACAUUCCAAGAAUUUGUUGGGAAAAAUAACACAUCAGGACACAGAUUAUCCAACAGAUGUCUGGGUAGUUGAAGUCCCACAUCACCACCAAGUCCUGUGCUUUGGAUAAUACUGGGUGAUUAUAAAAAGCAAGGGAAAUGGGAAGGCUUUCCAGGCUCAGACUGCAAACACACAUGCCUUCUUAAUACUUUUGUCUCCCCUACUGUCAGUCCUACCCCCCAGGGUUGGCUUCCUUCUUUUGUUUUUGCAUGUCCCCUUUCAGAGGUACUGUGAGAUAUCAGUGCAUGAGUGAUAGCCCUGUGCCUCAGGGCAUCAGAUGGUGCCGCUGAAGUAACUGUUCUUGCAGCAGGCAUAUCCAAGCAGAGCGUCUUCCUUGGACCUUGAGUGAUUGGAACUGGACCUUCAUCGAUGAGAGGUCUCUUGAGAUUAGGAUUUAUGCGGUGAUCAAUGCUCUUCUUCAAUUCCUUGAUGGGAGACGUGUUUACUCUUUUUUGAAGUCUUAUUAUCCAGGGUUGCACAUGAAGCAGCAAAAGUGACUGAGGAUGUCUGUGACAUAGAGGCUGAUGUAUAGGGUGGUGGGGAGAGCAAAUCCCUUGUGAGCUAGGAUAUGCUCCAUUACUAUCAUCUUAAAUCUAGCCUUCCUGUCCUUCUUGGAUCUGGCCUGAAAAUCCCGACAGAACUUGCAUUUGGCAGGGUUGUGGGAGUGCCUCAAAUCCCGCAGGCAGCUGGAGUGCCCAUCGCUGUGGGGAAAGGACGUGUGGCAAGUCUCACAGCCUUAAACCCCGUGUCUUGGUCAUAAUUAUACUCCUAACACAGAAAAUUGGGGAAGAGGAAGGAACCCUGCUUCUUCCUAACCCCAACUAACACAAACUGAAACAAAGGUAAAAUAUGAAUAAAGUAACUACUCACACCCACACAAUUUACACGUGAAGACAGGGAGCUGAAUACAGCAGGCAGCAGAACUCUCCAUGAACGGCAGGUGGUUGAGAAGGAACUGAUUGGUGGUGGGCUCAUAUGUUUCCUUGUUCACAGCAUGAUGCACUGUUCCGUGCAGCCAUUAGCCUGAAAACACUACUUUGCAGUCACUGGUUGAGAAUGCAGAGCUGUCCCUAGCCUAUGCAGCUGCCCUUGGGGGGGCUGUGUGGGGCCCCAGGCCUCCAUGGGGGGGGCAGGAGCAGGCUUGGGGGGCCAGGGGAAACCCACUCCCCAGCACAAGCCAGCGGAGCGGGUUGGAGCCAGGUCACUCCACUUCCUGCCGCCCGGUGAGUGCAGGGUGGGCCUGACCCCUGCUGCAGUCCUCAGGGGAAGGGCUGGAGUGGGGGUGGGAAGGGGCGGAGCAAGGGCUACGGGGAAGAGGCAGGGCAGGGGCUGGAACAGCACACAGCUGUGUAGGGCACCAGGAAAUUUAUGCAGCUAUGUACUUUGUGUACGGGUAGGGACGGCCCUGGGUGUAUGCAUCCUAUGGUAGAACACCCACAGGGACACUACACUCAGAAGAAGCACAUUCCAAUAACUACACCAGUGUGGGGAAAACUUGCUCAGUGACUCCCUUUCUUCCAGGUUAACGUCAUGACCAUUCUAGUCAUUACACCCAAGUAACUGCACAACCAGACCCCAGCAUUGACAAUGCUUCUCAGUGCCCGCACACCGAAGUACCCGCUAACCCUAUUACAGAACAGAAACUCAUGGACAGGCUCAGGGACAGUUCUCCUAAGGAAUAACAUUACAGAUUGAUGAGAAACAUUUUAUUUCCCAGAGUCAGUUUACACUAAAUAACCAAGGUCAAGCUCUUGUUUCAAAAAGGGUUUUAAUGAGUCAAACAUAACUAUUAUUGAUUAAUGAUAGCUGCGUCAUUGCAGAAACAGCCUCUAAUCUAACAUUUUUUAUGAGAUUAAAAUGAUUCUCUGUGCUAGUGGUCAGGUUCUGACUACCCUGAUCAUGUCAGGGAACUGGCCAAUGGGAGUGUGGAGUUGGUGCUCGGGGCCGUGGCCCCGCUGCCUAGAAGCCAGACCCGCUGCUGGCUGCUUCCGGGGUGCAGCACAAUGUGGAAAAAGGUAGGACUUUUUAACAUCCUAGUCGGCAGUGCUGACCAGAGUGACCCAAUGCCUUACUUUGAAAAACACUGCACUGGGCUACUGGGUAUAAAGGGAGCACUACCACCACUUCCUCUGUGUUUGUGGAAGUUAGCCACGCUCUGACAUCACAUACCAGAUUGGACCCUAGGCACUGAGGGGACUUUACUGGUGAAAACGUAGGCACCUGGGGAAUUCAGGCACCUAUAGGGUUGGGCAAGAUGAGUGGAUGGUUCGGAGGUGCAAACUUUUGGCCUCAGGUGCCUAAAGUGGCAGUUAGGCACCUAACCCCCCUUUGUGGAUCUGGCAGUUGGUAUGUGGUUGCUUAACAUGGGGUUUUCACAGUGAUUCUUAGAGUGUUGACAACUCUUAGGAUAUUUGCUCUUUUUCUUAAUACACCAGCUAUUGGGAAUGUGAGAAUCUCAGCAUUCAUUUAAAUAAAAAAAGUUUCUAGCCCUCUUGGUUGUGAAGAAAUGCUGGAAAAACAUGACCCCAAUUGUAACCUAAAAGCUCAAAACCCAGCAGGCAAAUAAUACUCAGAGUUUGGCUUAAAUGCCCCCACAAAGUGUGAAGAUUUCUGGGGCCUUUUUUUCGUUGAGUGCUCGGGGUUACUGAUACUGCAGCUAACAUGAUGCUAAAAGAUUAACUACAGAAGCAAGUUACUCUUUCCAAAGUUAUCCUAACUGCUAUUUUUACAAUACUUAAUGACCAGGCAGCCAGGAACCAGCCUGUGCGCCAGCUGAGUUGGGAGUGGGAGGCAGGAGAGGGAAGGGCCAUACUUGUUGUGGAAGUAAAAAAGGGAUAAAGGGGAUUUGGACACAGAUAUCUUAGUUUUCUUAGGAAUAGAGCAAGAGUCAGGCUAACUCUAAUAACACAAGACUUUAAGGCAGGGCCUGGGCGAGUGGGAAGCAAGUGGGAAAACUGUAAGAGAUGCUGUUAGAUAAGAAUGGAACACAGACUGUAGCAGGAACUGCUGAGAAAAAGUAAGAUAUCAGGAAGGAAUAUGUAUAAACAAGACGCAGCAGUUGAUCGUUACUGUAUGUAACAAAAGGUAUAAAUGCUUGCCCUAAUUGUUUAUCAGGCGGAGACCUGCCUAGGAAGGGGGAAUCCCUGGCCACGUGCACUCUCCCCCUUGCAAUUGCUUGAGAAUAAAUUGUCUCUGACUUGUUGCAAACAACCUAAGAGUGAAGACUGCAUUUUUCUUCCACAAUCUGGUGCCGUGACUUGGAUGGCAAUGCCUGGUUGAGACAGCGGUAGCUACUGCAGACCGUUCCCCUUCGAACCCCAUGGCAUCACAACAGAGGUAAGAGACCCUUUGAAAUCUCUAUUGGGGUAUUGGAGGAGGACUGCCUGUGGGGCCGUCUGUCCCUUUGGAGCUUACACCAUGCAAACUUAUUGAUUAAGCAACAAGAUCAGAUGCAAAGCGGUACUGAGGAACUGUUGCCGCCCUUAAUAAGGUUAGUUUGAAGUGGUACCGAGGAUUUAGUCUUGCCACCCUCAAUAAAGUUAAUGUAUCGGUGCUGAGGGGUUUUUGCCGCCUCAAAUAAGGGAAAGGUUGUAUUAAGUCCGGACAUAAAGAAUUAAGGUUAUUGUUAAAUGAGAUGCAUCAGGGUAUGGGGAAUGAAUGUGUGUGUAUGAAUGAAUGAAGGGGGGGUAUGAACCGCUAACCAGGUCCAGGACUUAAGCAGACUCCAGCUGCCCCAGGGCUACCCCAGGUGGGAGUUCUGAAAGCAAGGGGGGUCAGCCAAACCUUGUGACCCAGCGGAGAAUUUUCCUUACUUAUGAGCCACUGACCAGGUCCAGACUUAAGCCGCUAGUCGGUGGAAACUGUGACCCAGUGGACCCUUUCCUGGGGUGUGAGUGAAAAUCUUCCCUAAUUUAUGAGCUGCCAAAUGGUCAGGGGUCCCCUAUGAGCCAUUGAGCGGACAGGAUACUCCCCUGUGUGACUGCAAAAUGCAUUGGGGACAGUAAGAAUUCUCCUACACCACCGAAGGGCACCCCUGCGUACUAUAUGCAUGUGCAUUAUGGUCCUAGGACCUGCAGGUAUUUAGAAAAUUGGAAUUUUUCCACGCAUGAUAAUCCAUCUAAACAAUUCUCACUAGAAGGUACCUUCGAUCUAGAUAAAAUCAUAUACCUCAGAGGAACCCUUACAUCACCAAAAGCCUCUGACAUACAGUGGGAGAAAUUUGUUUAUUGGUGGGAGGAAGCCACAAAGAGACUCACGAGUCUCGUGUGCGGAGUCUGAAGGACUCCCAGGAAAAAUUUAAAAACAAGUACAGGAUUUGAAAACUAAAUGCAAAGCAUCCGGAUGCCUCCCUACCCGAGCAACUCCCUCUGCUCCUUUAUAUCCCCAAUUAGUUAAGGCUGAAAGCGAGGAGGGAAAGGAAUGGGUUAAUUUGAAAAGUCAGCUUGGCCUAGAGAUAAAGAGAAAGCUGCUCUGCGUUCAAGGUCAAAAAUCGACACAGACCAUGCCAAGCGCACGCACACACACACGCCUUUCAACCCCAGCUGGAUGUGAAAAAUAUAGACACAGGCAAAACAAGUUGCAGGACUGAGAUUACAUUUGCAAAGAUUGGCUGCCCAGUGAGACCCAACAGUCUGCCUUUGCAACCUUGGAGCCGGUGCGGUUUGCGGACACUGAAGAAGCCACUGGCAGCCAGCCUGGACUGGAAUACCGAGCAAAGGUCUCUGAAAGGGAAGAUCCAAGAGACCCCAGGGCGUAAAAAAAAAACAACAAAAAAACCAACCCUCCCAAGAGCGGAAGCAAGUUGGAGAUUUUUGCAGUGUAUCUCUGGACAACCUGUGCACAGGAUAACCUCCCGUCCACCCCCCUCUCUCUCUCUGUCUCUCCUACCCCCGGGCCUGGCCAGCCUGGGCAGCAUGUUUGUCUCUUUAUACACAGGUGAAAGACGCACUACCCAAGGAUCCUGAGCACCCCUGCCACUCGCUGGAACCAGGAGACUGGGUCUACAUACAGGUCCAUCAGCGAAAGACGGCCCUGACCCCACGCUGGAAAGGCCCUUACCAAAUCCUGUUAACUACCAACACCGCUGUGAAGUGCCAAGGACUGACUGCCUGGACCCAUG